UGGUUCUGGCAUCGAUGAAGAACGCAGCGAAAUGCGAUAAGUAAUGUGAAUUGCAGAAUUCAGUGAAUCAUCGAAUCUUUGAACGCACAUUGCGCCCCUUGGUAUUCCGGGGGGCAUGCCUGUUCGAGCGUCAUUACAACCCUCAAGCUCUGCUUGGUAUUGGGCCUCGCUGUGGACGCGGCGGGCCUCAAAUUCAGUGGCGGAACCUCUGGGUCCUGAGCGUAGUAAAUGUCCUCGCUACAGGGUCUCAGUGGCCUCUAGCCAGCAACCCCCACAUCUUAGUUUGACCUCGGAUCAGGUAGGGAUACCCGCUGA
This 315-nucleotide unclassified non-coding RNA is filed under the name uncultured fungus. RNAcentral describes it as "partial contains 5.8S ribosomal RNA and internal transcribed spacer 2". The stretch from base 1 to 133 matches the Rfam family "5.8S ribosomal RNA", at positions 22 to 154 of the family's 154-position model. The record is from RNAcentral. Lineage: Eukaryota; Fungi.